RNAcentral lists this ribosomal RNA (253 nucleotides) under uncultured bacterium. RNAcentral's name for it is "partial 16S ribosomal RNA". It matches the Rfam family "Bacterial small subunit ribosomal RNA", at positions 524 to 776 of the family's 1533-position model. The record is from RNAcentral.
UACAGAGGUGGCAAGCGUUGUCCGGAAUUACUGGGCGUAAAGAGCUCGUAGGUGGUUUGUCGCGUUGUUCGUGAAAACCGGGGGCUUAAUCCUCGGCGUGCGGGCGAUACGGGCAGACUUGAGUACUGCAGGGGAGACUGGAAUUCCUGGUGUAGCGGUGGAAUGCGCAGAUAUCAGGAGGAACACCGGUGGCGAAGGCGGGUCUCUGGGCAGUAACUGACGCUGAGGAGCGAAAGCGUGGGGAGCGAACAGG